RNAcentral lists this ribosomal RNA (776 nucleotides) under uncultured Neocallimastigales. RNAcentral's name for it is "partial large subunit ribosomal RNA". It matches the Rfam family "Eukaryotic large subunit ribosomal RNA", at positions 22 to 644 of the family's 3401-position model. The record is from RNAcentral. Lineage: Eukaryota; Fungi; Neocallimastigomycota; Neocallimastigomycetes; Neocallimastigales.
GUACACGCUGUGACUAGCAUAUCAAUAAGCGGAGGAAAAGAAACUAACAAGGAUUCCCCUAGUAACGGCGAGUGAAGCGGGAAGAGCUCAAAUUCGAAAUCUUAAAGGGUUUCCCUUUACGAAUUGUAGUUUAAAGAAGUGUUUUCUGUUGAGGUUUUGGUAAAAGUUCUUUGGAAUAGGACAUCAUAGAGGGUGAGAAUCCCGUAUUUGACCUUUACUUUCAACUUUGUGAUACACUUUCAAAGAGUCGGAUUGUUUGGGAAUGCAGUCCAAAAUGGGUGGUAAAUUUCAUCUAAAGCUAAAUAUUGGCGAGAGACCGAUAGCGAACAAGUACCGUGAGGGAAAGAUGAAAAGAACUUUGAAAAGAGAGUUAAACAGUACGUGAAAUUGUCAAAAGGGAAGCGUUUGACACCAGUGUUGUUUUUCUGAAAAUCAAUUAAAGAACUGUUUAUGCUAAGCUGUUUAGACUUUAUCAGCUAUCUGUUUAGUUUUGAGCUUUUCUUUAAUGCACUUUUCAGUUAACAAGUCAACAUCAAUUUCUUUUGCUGUAAAAAAGCUUGAGGAAGGUGGCUUGAGAUUCGUCUUAAGUGUUUAUAGCCUCUUGUCCUACGCAGUCGGAGAGAUUGAGGUCUGCAGCGUAGGAUCCUUCGGGGCUAAAUGCAUUUGUGCUAAGUUAUAGCAUUUUAUAGACAACUUGUUGACUAUGAUUUGUCUUGUAGCUUACUCGCUUAUGUUAUUUUACCUACGCUUAGGAUGUUGACUGAUAUGUAGUCGUA